GAGAGAGAGAGUAGGAGAGUCUAAGGGCUUUUGUCAUAGACUGCAACCUGGGUACUUCCGGUUUUGAGGGAAGUAAAGCUAGAGGGUUUCGAUUAUUAUUCAGAAGUGAAGGGCUUCCUUUUGGGUUGUCUACUGUCUUGAUUGUUUUGCCUUACAGUCAUAUUAGAUUUCUAUUGAGAAGAGUUUGGGCUGAGUAUAGUCGAGAGCAGGAUUUCUUUAUCAUUUUCUUUUGUAAAAACAAAACCAUAUUGAUUUGGAUUGUAAGUACUAUUUGGAGUACUUUUUUUUUGUGGUUU
Molecule: long non-coding RNA, 296 nt
Organism: Rosa chinensis
Lineage: Eukaryota; Viridiplantae; Streptophyta; Magnoliopsida; Rosales; Rosaceae
Exons: 2
Source: RefSeq, a predicted model, not a curated record